CCUACGGGUGACUGCAGUAGGGAAUAUUGCUCAAUGGGGGAAACCCUGAAGCAGCAACGCCGCGUGGAGGAUGAAGGUUUUCGGAUUGUAAACUCCUUUUGUUAGAGAAGAUAAUGACGGUAUCUAACGAAUAAGCACCGGCUAACUCCGUGCCAGCAGCCGAGGUAAUACGGAGGGUGCAAGCGUUACUCGGAAUCACUGGGCGUAAAGAGCGCGUAGGCGGGAUAGCAAGUCAGAUGUGAAAUCCUAUGGCUUAACCAUAGAACUGCAUUUGAAACUGUUAUUCUAGAGUAGGGGAGAGGUAGGUGGAAUUCUUGGUGUAGGGGUAAAAUCCGUAGAGAUCAAGAGGAAUACUCAUUGCGAAGGCGACCUGCUAGAACAUCACUGACGCUGAUGCGCGAAAGCGUGGGUAGCAAACAGGAUUAGAUACCCUAGUAGUC
RNAcentral lists this ribosomal RNA (440 nucleotides) under uncultured bacterium. RNAcentral describes it as "partial 16S ribosomal RNA". It matches the Rfam family "Bacterial small subunit ribosomal RNA", at positions 338 to 795 of the family's 1533-position model. The record is from RNAcentral.